UAUAAUGUUUUGAUUCUUCGUCUUAUUUAAAAUUUUUCGUGAUUAAUAUUUUUAUUUUUACUAGAUGAUAAAAUAUGAAUAAUGCUUUAUGCGUGACUAAUUUUUUAAAGUUUUUUAUAAAUUUUUCAAAUAAGACAAAUGAUUAAACCGAUGUUAAACACGGAAAAAC
Molecule: microRNA precursor, 169 nt
Filed under: Oryza brachyantha (malo sina)
Lineage: Eukaryota; Viridiplantae; Streptophyta; Magnoliopsida; Poales; Poaceae
Description: MIR812 microRNA precursor family
Rfam family: MIR812 microRNA precursor family
Source: Rfam by way of RNAcentral